GGUUGGGCUGUUCGCCCAUGAAAGCGGUACUCGAGCUGGGUUCAGAACGUCGUGAGACAGUUCGGUCCCUAUCCGCUGCGCGCGGAGGAAUCUUGAGAAGGGCUGUCUUUAGUACGAGAGGACCGAGACGGACUGACCUCUGGUGUGCCAGUUGUUCUGCCAAGAGCAUGGCUGGUUGGCUACGUCGGGUUGUGAUAACCGCUGAAAGCAUCUAAGCGGGAAGCGCGCCUCAAGAUGAGAUCUCCCGGGGCACAAGCCCCCUGAAGGAACCAUGUAGACUACGUGGUUGAUAGGUCAGGUGUGUAAGUACCAAUGUAUUGA
Molecule: ribosomal RNA, 321 nt
Filed under: Chaetoceros curvisetus
Lineage: Eukaryota; Bacillariophyta; Thalassiosirophyceae; Chaetocerotales; Chaetocerotaceae
Description: partial Bacterial large subunit ribosomal RNA
Rfam family: Bacterial large subunit ribosomal RNA
Source: RNAcentral